This 421-nucleotide ribosomal RNA is filed under the name uncultured Methanosphaerula sp. RNAcentral describes it as "partial 16S ribosomal RNA". Lineage: Archaea; Methanobacteriati; Methanobacteriota; Methanomicrobia; Methanomicrobiales; Methanoregulaceae. The record is from RNAcentral.
GGACUACGGGGGUAUCUAAUCCGGUUUGCUCCCCCAGCUUUCGUCCCUCACUGUCGGAGCCGUUCUGGUGAGACGCCUACGCCACAGGUGGUCCCCCAAGGAUUACAGGAUUUCACUCCUACCCCUGGAGUACCUCUCACCUCUCCCGGUCCCUAGAUUGCCAGUAUCCCUUAAACGCCUGUCGGUUAAGCCGACAGAUUUCCCAAGAGACUUAACAACCAAGCUACGGACGCUUUAAGCCCAGUAAUAGUGGCCACCACUCGAGCCGCCGGUAUUACCGCGGCGGCUGGCACCGGUCUUGCCCGGCCCUUUCUUCACCUGUUUUUUAAGCAGAUGGACAGCCCGCGUUUACGGGCACUCGGAGUUCCCUUAUCACGGUUUCCCGCAUUGUAAAGUUUUCGCGCCUGCUGCCCCCCAUAGG